RNAcentral lists this small nucleolar RNA (138 nucleotides) under Marmota monax (woodchuck). The record is from RNAcentral. Lineage: Eukaryota; Metazoa; Chordata; Mammalia; Rodentia; Sciuridae.
UUGGCCCUGAAUCAAGGCCAGAAGUUUGUUGAAGCUGUUGGUUUCAAGCAGGAGCCUAAAGUAAUGUCUUUUUAUGGUCUGUUGGCUACUUCAGAACUUUAGAAGUGGUAAUAGUCAAUUCAAUAGAAAGAAACAUCU